RNAcentral lists this ribosomal RNA (230 nucleotides) under uncultured bacterium. RNAcentral's name for it is "partial 16S ribosomal RNA". It matches the Rfam family "Bacterial small subunit ribosomal RNA", at positions 118 to 350 of the family's 1533-position model. The record is from RNAcentral.
UGGGCAACCUGCCCUCAGCUCUGGGAUAACUCCGGGAAACCGGGACUAAUACCGGAUACGACCUUCCCUCGCAUGGGGGUUGGUGGAAAGUUCUUCGGCUGAGGAUGGGCCCGCGGCCUAUCAGCUUGUUGGUGGGGUGACGGCCCACCAAGGCGACGACGGGUAGCUGGUCUGAGAGGACGACCAGCCACACUGGAACUGAGAUACGGUCCAGACUCCUACGGGAGGCA